UGGGGAAUAUUGCACAAUGGGCGAAAGCCUGAUGCAGCGACGCCGCGUGAGGGAUGAAGGCCUUCGGGUUGUAAACCUCUUUCAGCAGGGAAGAAGCGAAAGUGACGGUACCUGCAGAAGAAGCACCGGCUAACUACGUG
RNAcentral lists this ribosomal RNA (140 nucleotides) under uncultured bacterium. RNAcentral describes it as "partial 16S rRNA". It matches the Rfam family "Bacterial small subunit ribosomal RNA", at positions 355 to 507 of the family's 1533-position model. The record is from RNAcentral.